Nelumbo nucifera (sacred lotus) is the source of this 3206-nucleotide non-coding RNA. Lineage: Eukaryota; Viridiplantae; Streptophyta; Magnoliopsida; Proteales; Nelumbonaceae. The record is from RefSeq and is a predicted model, not a curated record.
UGCCGGUGAAAGGCAGCGUUGCAUAUGGGCGUUCUUCUUACUGGAUUUCAUUUUCAAACUACACUACACAGACAAGGGAAUAGCCAUUCUCGGCAGUCCCAUUCGCAGACCGCACUCCCUCUCUCUCUCUCUCUCUCUCUCUCAUCACCGCCUUCCAUGGUUCCAUUUACGUAAGCUUCUUCCGCGCUUCUCAUCUCGAAUGCGAUAUUGCGAUGUUAAUCAGGAGGUCCUCUUUUCCAUCCUUAUUCCAUAUAUUCACUCCCAAGUUGUCCGUUACCUUCUUCUCUUCUCUCUGCAAAGGAAGACUCUUUAGGCCUCCCUCUGCGGCAACUCCUCCUGUUCCGAAGAAGAUUCCCUUCACAGUCUCUGCUCAUGGAAGAACAUGGGAGGAUCCUUACCAUUGGAUGUCCAACACCAACGACUCAGACCUCCUGAAGUACCUAAACCAGGAAAACAAUUAUGUCGAAGCUUUCAUGGCCGACACCAUCCAACUACAACAGAAACUGCUUUCUGAAAUGAGAAGCCGAAUGCCUCCUAAAAUCUCAACUCCCCCUGAACGCUGGGGGCCCUGGUUGUACUACCAAUACAUCCCUGAGGGAAAAGAAUACCCAGUUUUAUGCAGGAGACUGGAUGCCCGAACCCACAAUAGUGGUUGGAUCAAGAAGGUUCUCAAUUACGUAAGUUGGGGAUUAGCAAGGGAGGAAAUACUGCUCGACUGGAAUGAAAUCGCAAAUGAGUUUGUUGUUGCAGGUUAUGUUCAUAUUGGUGCAUGCCGAGUUUCACCAGAUCAUAACUUUCUUGCAUACACACUGGACACUAAUGGCAGUGAGCAGUUCAUGCUUCAAAUUAAGGACCUCAGAACUGGGUCUAUUCUUCCUAAAACAUGGGUUGAUGGGGUUGUUAGCUUGGCAUGGGCUGAGGAUGGCUGUACUUUGUUCUAUACAGUCUUGGAUGAGACCCAACGACCUUACAGGGUUUUCUGCACAGAACUGGGGUCAUAUUUCCAGGAUGCUAAUCUGAUAUUCACGGAAAGCGAUUCAAGUUGCUGUGUGGACAUCACAACCACAAAGGAUGGAAAGUUCAUAACUGUGAAUUCUAACUCAAGGACUUCAUCGGAGGUUUACAUACUAGAUGCAUCGAAACCACAUAGUGGGUUGCGAAGAGUACGUAAACGUGUGCCUGGUGUGCAGUACUUUCUGGAACAUCACUAUGGUUACUUCUAUAUUCUUACCAAUGCUCCUUUGAGGGAAGAUGCGGAUUUAUUUGACAGAGGUUAUUAUUUGACUAGAUGCAAGGCUGGAGAUAUACAGUUGUCCACUUGGCAGGAUAUUAUCCUACCAGAUCAAGAUCUCAUUUUUCAAGACAUGGAUAUUUUUUAUGAACACUUGGUACUUUUCCUUGAUAAAGGGGGGUCCCCCAUGAUCUGUUCCAUCGAUAUGCCUAUCAAUGUUACCAAUGUCAAUUUUAAGCAUCACGUGAAGGUUGAUGAUCUUAAUCCAUGGUUUUUUCCUGUACCUUCAAAUUUCUGUAGCAUUACUCCAGGUUCAAACCAUGACUUCAUGUCGUCUUUGUACCGUGUGGUGCUUUCAUCUCCAGUGAUGCCCGAUGUGAUUGUUGACUAUGAUAUGUUAAAGAAGAAUUUCUCUAUUUUGCAACAAGACGAGGUAGUUGGGAUUACCAGCAAUGCUGGAUCAAGUUCAUUAUCAUGUAAUGUUCAUAAGAAAAUUGUAGGCAUGGAAACCCAUAAAGAUCAGCUUAUGCAAAAUAUAGAAGUCCAGAGCUGGAAGGAUCUUCCUGAAGCAUUCUCCUGUGAAAGGAAGGGAGUUAUUUCACAUGAUGGUGCUGAAGUCAUUCUGACCAUCUUAUACUCUACGGAAGCACAAAAGAAGGGUCAAUCUCCUGGGCUUUUACAAGGAUAUGGAGCUUAUGGAGAAGUUUUGGAUAAAAGUUGGUGUGCAAAUCGCCUGAGUUUAAUUGAUCGUGGUUGGGUUUUGGCUUUUGCUGACGUGAGGGGUGGUGGUGAUACUUCAUGGCAUAAGGCUGGCAGCGGUGCAUACAAGCUAAACUCAAUAUAUGAUUUUAUUGCAUGCGGAAAGUACUUGAUUAAUGAGGGCUAUGUUCAUAAGGAUAGGCUUGGUGCUAUUGGAUUUAGUGCAGGAGGUCUCCUUGUGGGGGCUGCAAUAAACAUGUAUCCUGAUUUAUUCCGUGCUGCUAUCUUGAAGGUUCCUUUUCUUGAUAUCUGUAACACAUUGUUAGAUCCAAGUUUACCUCUCACCAUCUUGGACUAUGAAGAAUUUGGUGACCCUAGGAUUCAAGAACAGUUUGAAUCUAUUUUUAAUUACUCUCCUUAUGAUAACAUUCCUCAAGGCGUUUGUCAUCCUUCAGUGCUAGUUACGAGUUCAUUGCAUGACUCAAGAGUCGGUGUUUGGGAAGCUGCCAAAUGGGUAGCUAAGUUGCGAGAGAGCACAUGUUCCAGUUGUUCUCAAUCAGUCAUCCUGAAAACAAAUAUGAGCGGGGGACAUUUUGGUGAAGGUGGUCGUUUCAGCCACUGUGAAGAGGUAGCUUUUGAGUAUGCCUUUCUGAUGAAAGUGGUGGGAAUGCAUUAUGGUAAUCAGUAAGAUGGAGUUUUGUGGAAGGGAGCUGUUCUAUGAAUCAUUAGGGGAACUUUAGAUACUGUGCCUUCAGAAAGAUGGAAUUCCUUGGAGAUCACUAGAAGUGAGAAUCAACGAGCUUUUUCAAGGCAUCCCAUCCCCAAGGUCAAGUAUUGACCUUGUUGAAUGUGAAAUGACAUUGUGUUAAUAUUGCAGGUACUGUUUAGAAGACUGACCAUCAGCUCUAGUAUUGACAGGCUUUCAUUUUUCAUAUAUACGGGUACAAGAAAAUGGAAGACCGGUUCCAAAGGGAAUCCCAUUGUAGUAGAUUUGAUUUCAAUAUGGUUGGUUCACUGCCUGUGCUCAGUAGCCUUCUACCAUGUUCCACUAAACAAAGGAUUAAAUCAUAAUUCACAGUAUUUUGAGAUGAUCAGUGUGUAUACACCAAAUCCAUGUAAUGAUGACCAGUGAUGACCUCUGUCCGUACAAGACUUGUGGGGGCCUCAACCUAUUUUAUUUAUUGCUAUAGUUUUGUAUUCCCUUUUUACAAUUUUGUAACAAAAAAUAUUGUUAUAAAUUGAAGUUAAUAGAAGGUAAAGCAUGAGUACCAAAAUC